This 228-nucleotide long non-coding RNA is filed under the name Lathyrus oleraceus (garden pea). RNAcentral's name for it is "Pisum sativum (pea) long non-coding RNA (PSAT_LNC011693)". The record is from RNAcentral. Lineage: Eukaryota; Viridiplantae; Streptophyta; Magnoliopsida; Fabales; Fabaceae.
UCAAACUUGGUAGUGAGCAACUGCAGUCUAUACAUCUUUACUCUAGAGAUGCCUUCAUGAGUGGUUUUGAGAAUGUUCCAAGCAUCUUUAGCCACCUCACAGUUGUUUAACAAUCUGAAGAUGUUCUUAUCUACUCCAUCGAAUAUAGCAUUCAAUGCUUUAGAGUUCCCAAGGGCUAGAUCAUCCUCCUCCUUACUCCAUUGUUCCUCAACCUUCUUAUCAGUUGUA